AGUUAAUCUAACAGAGCCAGGCUAGCCAUUUCCCCAUUUUAGAUCUUUAUGUUAAGCUAAGCUAAC
Long non-coding RNA from Sander lucioperca (pikeperch), 66 nucleotides. RefSeq lists it as uncharacterized. The record is from RefSeq and is a predicted model, not a curated record. The transcript is spliced from 3 exons. NCBI's taxonomy places the organism in Eukaryota, Metazoa, Chordata, Actinopteri, Perciformes, Percidae.